RNAcentral lists this long non-coding RNA (608 nucleotides) under Capsella grandiflora. Its description in RNAcentral is "long non-coding RNA (CGRA_LNC000992)". Lineage: Eukaryota; Viridiplantae; Streptophyta; Magnoliopsida; Brassicales; Brassicaceae. The record is from RNAcentral.
UCAGAUUUGGGUGUCGCGUGAGAAGCUGUCUGAUCCGCUUGCUUUGAAACUUAGUUAAAGCUUUGAGCCCAUAUACAGUUUUUGGUCAACAUGUCAAAGAGUUCUUGUUUCAGGAUCAUCUCAAGUUAUUCUCGAUUAUCGGCAAUGGAAUCAACAGAAAGAGGUGGUUUGAUCAAUUUUGGGUUUUUAGAAAUCAUCAAGAUGAAGUGUCCUCUUUGUUCGAUUUGAUUAGAAGAAAAGAUAUGGGAGAUGCGUUUGCAAAAUUGUUUCAAAUUUGUAUCCUUUAGAUAAUGAGUUGAUUGCUGAAGCAGAAUCAAAAGUGAUUCAUGGAGAAACAACAAGCGAAAAGAUAAUUGUAAAAUCGAAACAAGCGUUUUUGAUUCAGAGGUUGGGCUCUUGCUGGCAGAGAAGAUGAUAGCUAAAUUCAUAAGGAAGAAGAGUUUGAGAACCUUGCUGAGUGAUGGUCUUCUUAAUUCAGAAUCUGGAGGAGAAAGGUUGUCUUUAUUUCUCAAUCUGGAAUCAGCGAGAAAAAGAUUUAUGUUCAGCUUUUGGGUUUCAUGAAUAAGUUAGUUUGCGGUUGUUCUUCAAAUUGAUUCUUAAAGGGUGAA